GACGAACGCUGGCGGCGUGCUUAACACAUGCAAGUCUACGAUGCUUGUUCAGCAAUGGAUAAAGUAGAGUGGCGCACGGGUGCGUAACGCGCAGGUAAUCUACCUUACAGACGGAAAUAACACUUCCAACGAGGUGCUAAUAUCCGAUACCACAAACGGCUCGCAUGAGUUGAUUGUGAAAACCUUCGGGGCUGUAAGAUGAGCCUGCGUCCCAUUAGGUAGUUGGUGAGGUAAAGGCCCACCAAGCCGACGAUGGGUAGCUGGUCUGAGAGGACGAUCAGCCACACUGGAACUGAGACACGGUCCAGACUCCUACGGGAGGCAGCAGUGAGGAAUAUUGCACAAUGGGCGCAAGCCUGAUGCAGCAACGCCGCGUGAGGGACGAAGGCCUUCGGGUCGU
RNAcentral lists this ribosomal RNA (400 nucleotides) under uncultured bacterium. Its description in RNAcentral is "bacterial SSU rRNA". It matches the Rfam family "Bacterial small subunit ribosomal RNA", at positions 28 to 426 of the family's 1533-position model. The record is from RNAcentral.